AACAGAAGGCUCAAUAAAAUUUAGUAAUUUCCAUAUCACUUUCUGGAAUGAUAUAGUCAUUUAUCAAAUAUUUGCACGCUCGAACAAUAGGGAAUGGUUGAGAAUAUACACAACCCAGCACAAUAGUAACCCAAAUAUAUUUAAAAUUUGAAAACUUUUGAAAAGAAAAAGAAAAGAAAAUAAAAGCUAAAGGCAGAAUAAACCUGCUCAUCCAUCACAUUUCCCUCAG
Molecule: long non-coding RNA, 229 nt
Filed under: Phoenix dactylifera (date palm)
Lineage: Eukaryota; Viridiplantae; Streptophyta; Magnoliopsida; Arecales; Arecaceae
Description: long non-coding RNA (PDAC_LNC018462)
Source: RNAcentral